AAGUCGAGCUUACCUUGGCCCGUGCUCGGCCCUUUUACAAACGAGUCAAUUUCGAGCGAGCCGCGAGCUUUUUGAACAACCCUUACUUUUUUGCCUUUUUGCAGCGCCCAACGGUUGAAUGACUUGGGUGAAGAAUCGACCAGACUUCCUCUCUUCCUCUCUGGAGGUAGGUAAGUAUUGCUUACAUUAAUAGAAAUCAUGGAUCUACCAUUGCUGAAACUAGAGUUGGCAAAUUGUGCCGGAUGGGUCAAAAUGGGUCGGGCCGGUUUAAGCCCAUCAAUACUUUUUAUGUCCAUUUUGUAUAUACUUUAGACUACUAUUUCUUUUUAGCUAAUUUUCCUUCCACAUUCGACCCGUUAUCAAUGAAAUACAUGUUUGAAUUUUGUUGACACAGGCAAAACCACGGUUCCUAUGGAAUAACUAUAUGUUGGAGCUUCUAAUAGAUAACAAGAAGCUGGAUGCAAACAUUCUUCCUGUUAUUCAAGGAACUUUUCAAAGCUUUGAAGUAGCAAUAGGCAAAGAUAUUAUAGAUGUCACCUUGAUAGCAAGGAGGAGAUGAAGUUGAGGAAGAAGAUGAGAAACAGAUGAUGGAGUCUUUUAAUUCACAAAUCCCAGAAAAAGCCCAAAACACAUUUAUUUUGCAUUCAGUUUUGUAUGGUAGAGUACACAUCAGUAAAUCAACUAUUUAGAAUACUUUACACUGCCAUGG
Molecule: long non-coding RNA, 709 nt
Organism: Helianthus annuus (common sunflower)
Lineage: Eukaryota; Viridiplantae; Streptophyta; Magnoliopsida; Asterales; Asteraceae
Exons: 3
Source: RefSeq, a predicted model, not a curated record